Non-coding RNA from Whalleya microplaca, 148 nucleotides. NCBI's taxonomy places the organism in Eukaryota, Fungi, Ascomycota, Sordariomycetes, Xylariales, Xylariaceae. The record is from the annotation of a GenBank genome assembly.
UCCUCCGUGGCGCAAUUGGCUAGCGCGUCUGUAUGCCUACACUUGAUCAGACAUUUCAUCUUUCCAAAACUAACGAGAUACAGGACUGUUAUUAGCCCUACAAGGCAAAGCAAUCAGGAGGUUGACAGUUCAAGCCUGUCCGGGGGAG